RNAcentral lists this long non-coding RNA (267 nucleotides) under Elaeis guineensis (African oil palm). Its description in RNAcentral is "long non-coding RNA (EGUI_LNC077037)". Lineage: Eukaryota; Viridiplantae; Streptophyta; Magnoliopsida; Arecales; Arecaceae. The record is from RNAcentral.
UCCUGGACAGCGGUCGCCAAGCUCUUCAGGGGUUCAGGGGGGUCUCCAAGAGAGAGAGAGCUUUUGUGAGGGGAACUUUAUGUGAGAGAGAAUUGGGUGUACAAGGGUUGAGGGUGAGGUCUCCUCUUGUAAAAUUUUCUUUUCAUAGUGAAGUUUGCAUGCCCCGUGGAGGCGAGCCCUUUUGUGGCUGAUCCACGUAUUUUGAUUAUUUUUCUUCUGUUUUGUUUCUUCUUUCUUCCUGCUGCAUCGCAUGGUACUGAAAGGGUC